UUGAUCAUGGCUCAGGAUGAACGCUAGCGGCAGGCUUAAUACAUGCAAGUCGAGGGGCAGCAGCUUUAUAGCAAUAUAGAGGCUGGCGACCGGCAAACGGGUGCGGAACACGUACACAACCUUCCUUUAAGUGGGGGAUAGCCCAUAGAAAUGUGGAUUAAUACCCCGUAAUAUUAUUGAAGUGGCAUCACUUUAUAAUUAUAGUUUCGACGCUUGAAGAUGGGUGUGCGGCUGAUUAAGUAAUUGGCGGGGUAAAAGCCCACCCAGCCCUCGAUCAGUAGCUGAUGUGAGAAGCAUGAUCAGCCACACGGCACUGAGACACGGGCCCGACUCCUACGGGAGGCAGCAGUAAGGAAUAUUGGUCAAUGGACGCAAGUCUGAACCACCCUGCCGCGUGGAAGGAUGAAGGUCUCCGGAUUGUAACUUCUUUUUAGGGGGCGAAAAAAGGGAUUCUUUCCACUUGACAGUACCCUAUGAUA
Molecule: ribosomal RNA, 479 nt
Filed under: uncultured bacterium
Lineage: Bacteria
Description: bacterial SSU rRNA
Rfam family: Bacterial small subunit ribosomal RNA
Source: RNAcentral